This is a long non-coding RNA of Pseudoliparis swirei, 826 nucleotides long. RefSeq lists it as uncharacterized. The record is from RefSeq and is a predicted model, not a curated record. The transcript has 3 exons. Lineage: Eukaryota; Metazoa; Chordata; Actinopteri; Perciformes; Liparidae.
GAGGAGCCCUCGUCCUAUUGGUGGACGGCGGGGCUGGUGGCGGGGCUGGUGGCGGGGCUGGUGGUGGGCCUACUGGUGCUCGCCGUGGUCGGCCUGCUGGUCUACCUGAAGCUGAAAGGAGGCGCCGCGAAGCCCAGGACCGACCCCGAGGAGGCGACGGAGCUGCACCGGGUCAAAGACUCCACGGCCGACAGCCGCCUGCUGGCGGCGGGCGGCGACGAGCCGUCGGGCCUCCAGACGUCUCUCAGUUAACGGGAAACUAGCGCCGCACGAACGAAACGAACACGCCCACUUCUGCCUGGAGACAGAAAUAUAUAUUUUAUUUUCCUACUCUGUCAUUUUUGGUACUUUUGAGGCUCUUGAGGCGUAGAACGUGAACUCUAAGACCUUCAGCGUCCGUGGACCCGGACCAGCUGUGGAGGUCUGGAAGGAGGCGGGGCCUGUUCAACGGAACACAGCAAACGUCCCAGCUCAGUGAGCUAUAGGGGCGGAGCUUAAAGAGCUGGACGCCGCUGGAUAAGCAUCCAGAAACCCAGAAACUAACAACAGUGCUAACAAUGUUAACAGUGCUACUGGAGCUAACAGUGCUAACAAUGUUAACAGUGCUACUGGAGCUAACAGUGCUAACAAUGUUAACAGUGCUACUGGAGCUAACAAUGCUAACAAUGUUAACAGUGCUACUGGAGCUAACAGUGCUAACAAUGUUAACAGUGCUACUGGAGCUAACAGUGCUAACAAUGUUAACAGUGCUACUGGAGCUAACAGUGCUAACAAUGUUAACAGUGCUGCUGGAGCUAACAACGCUAACAAUGUUAACAGUGCUACU